CAGUAGCCGCUGUAAUACGAAGGGUGCAAGCGUUAAUCGGAAUUACUGGGCAUAAAGCGUGCGUAGGCGGUGAGUUAAGUCUGCUGUGAAAUCCCCGGGCUCAACCUGGGAAUGGCAGUGGAUACUGGCUCGCUAGAGUGUGUCAGAGGAUGGUGGAAUUCCCGGUGUAGCGGUGAAAUGCGUAGAGAUCGGGAGGAACAUCAGUGGCGAAGGCGGCCAUCUGGGACAACACUGACGCUGAGGCACGAAAGCGUGGGGAGCAAACAGGAUUAGAUACCCCAGUAGUCCCUGUCUCUUAUAA
RNAcentral lists this ribosomal RNA (301 nucleotides) under uncultured bacterium. RNAcentral describes it as "partial 16S ribosomal RNA". It matches the Rfam family "Bacterial small subunit ribosomal RNA", at positions 509 to 809 of the family's 1533-position model. The record is from RNAcentral.